RNAcentral lists this ribosomal RNA (480 nucleotides) under Aspergillus nidulans. RNAcentral's name for it is "SSU rRNA". It matches the Rfam family "Eukaryotic small subunit ribosomal RNA", at positions 39 to 522 of the family's 1831-position model. The record is from RNAcentral. Lineage: Eukaryota; Fungi; Ascomycota; Eurotiomycetes; Eurotiales; Aspergillaceae.
AAAGAUUAAGCCAUGCAUGUCUAAGUAUAAGCAAUCUAUACUGUGAAACUGCGAAUGGCUCAUUAAAUCAGUUAUCGUUUAUUUGAUAGUACCUUACUACAUGGAUACCUGUGGUAAUUCUAGAGCUAAUACAUGCUAAAAACCCCGACUUCGGGAGGGGUGUAUUUAUUAGAUAAAAAACCAAUGCCCCUCGGGGCUCCUUGGUGAUUCAUAAUAACUUAACGAAUCGCAUGGCCUUGCGCCGGCGAUGGUUCAUUCAAAUUUCUGCCCUAUCAACUUUCGAUGGUAGGAUAGUGGCCUACCAUGGUGGCAACGGGUAACGGGGAAUUAGGGUUCGAUUCCGGAGAGGGAGCCUGAGAAACGGCUACCACAUCCAAGGAAGGCAGCAGGCGCGCAAAUUACCCAAUCCCGACACGGGGAGGUAGUGACAAUAAAUACUGAUACGGGGCUCUUUUGGGUCUCGUAAUUGGAAUGAGAACA